AUGGAGUUUGUUAAAGAGGAGAGUGAAGAGAACACGAGAGAACCAGAAACCUGGAGAAUAAAACAAGAGGAGCCAGAAACCUGGGGAAUAAAACACGAGCCAGAAACCUGGGGAAUAAAACACGAGGAGCCAGAAACCUGGGGAAUAAAACACGAGGAGCCAGAAACCCGGGGAAUAAAACACGAGGAGACAGAAACUGGGAGAAAAACCAGAAACCGAGAGAAUAAAACACGAGGAGCCAGAAACCAGAAUAAGACACGAUCCAGAAACUUGCAGAAUAAAACACGAGGAGCCGGGAGAAUAAAACACGAGGAACAAGGAGAUACCUGAAAAAGGUGAAUGCUGUAGCAGCAAAGUGUGGGACUACUUCUGCAAAUACUUUAACUUUAGUAUUAUAAUUUAUUUACAGUACACACACAGACUGUUAAAACCAGCUUCAACUGGAAGAAAGGAAAAGUGUUAAAUGUUUAAAACCAGACUGUUUUUUUGAUCAAUAAAAAAUAUAUACUUUUGAUGUGCAAUUGUUUAGUCAUUGAGACUGUAAUCUAAGGCUUUUUUUAACAUACAUCCCUUCUGGAAAAUGGUUUAUACAGCCCACAUACAUAGAACAGGCGGAUAUUUUGCUAUUGAAUGUGUGUAAGUGCAGUUUAUAGGAAAUUGGUCUAAUAUCCAGUUUAUUUUCAAAAUCAAAAUAUCGGCUUAUAAAUCAGCUCUUUUCGAGGUAAUAUCGGCAUCGGCCCCCAAAAAUCCAUAUUGGUCGGGCUCUACUUCAUUCAUUUUCCACCAAGACAGUGGAUUCUCCUCCUUGGACAGGGGAUGUUCUCCGAAAUACAUCAAGAUCUGUGGAAUAAAAUGUGUUUUGUUUUGGUUAUUUAUAUUUGCAAAAAGUUUCUGUUUUAAAAAUGUUCUAUUAUGUGAACUGCCUUAUUGUGGAAAUUGUUAAAUAAGAGCAAAAAAAAAAAAAGAUCUUGCCUACCUCCUGCACAGCUUGGUUUAACUGCUGCUCCUCAUCUUCUUCAUCACUGGAGUUGGAGUCUGAUCACAGUAUGUCGAGGAACGAUGUGACCUUCUUGACAUGCGCUUCUUGGAGAGUUGUGUGCUGUGCUAGAUGCUCCAUUUUCUCUUGCAGUGGGCUGCUUCAUUUGCUUUUUGUCAGCAACAGCUAGUGCCAUGGUUUGUACUGUGCUUUGGACCUUGAAUACUUGGUCAGCAGUGAAGAACUUUAGUUUUUGAAACCUGGGAUCUAGAGCAGUAGCAAGUAGGGUAAUGUUUGGAGAUUCAGGUGUAAACUCUGUCAGUCCUUGCCAUCUUGCUGUGAUCUGUUCUGUCGCAUGAGCCUGGAAUGACCUCACUGGUGCAGUCUCAGGAUCUGGACUCUGUACGGUGAUCUUAAGAUUGUGCACUAGCUGUGGAAGUGCAGAAAGUGUAACAUUGCUGUCCACUCAGAAACACUGUUGCUGCUUCAAAAGGCUCAAGAACCUUGCACAGCUCUUCAAUCAGGCUCCACUGUCAGAGAGUGUAGCAGUCACUGGCCAUCUUUGUUCUAGCAGCCUGGACAACAUCUGAUAGGAGCUGUUCCACCGUGUGCAUACAUCUUGCACUAGCAUGUUUGUCUCGGUGCCCAUUUGCUUCUGCUUCUCCUUCAACUUGGUGCAUGCUAAUUCACUCUUCUUAAAAUGUUCAUCAAGGCAUCUUAAAGAAGCCACACACUUGGAGAUAGCUUGGUGGAUCUUUAGCGAGCUUUGUACAACCAAGUUGAGGGUGUGCCCUGCACAUCGCCAUGAUGCCCAUCCAUGCCUUUCUUGCUAAAUCUUUGCUGCUGCUACGACAUUAGCACUGUUGUCGUGAACAAAGGCCUUGAUUUUCUCUAGUGGAAUGUCGAAUUUGGCAAUUACAUUCUCAAUCCACUUUACAAUAUUAGCAGCCGUGUGUCUCUCUUCAAGGGGCAUCAUUGUCAGGCAGUGGGACAUUUCCCAAUCCUCCCCAAGAUAGUGACGCGUCACCCCAAGAUAAGCCUCUGUUGCAACGCUCGUCCAAAUAUCAGUUGUUAGUGCAACACUGUCAGUCUCCUGCAGGG
Molecule: long non-coding RNA, 2077 nt
Organism: Carassius auratus (goldfish)
Lineage: Eukaryota; Metazoa; Chordata; Actinopteri; Cypriniformes; Cyprinidae
Source: Ensembl